This 928-nucleotide unclassified non-coding RNA is filed under the name Hevea brasiliensis (rubber tree). The record is from RNAcentral. Lineage: Eukaryota; Viridiplantae; Streptophyta; Magnoliopsida; Malpighiales; Euphorbiaceae.
CAAAGAAUGAAAUAGAAAGCAAUCGGAGAUGAAAAGAAAGCAUGGAAACUGUGCUCAGUUCAAAUGGAUAGAGUUAUAAACCCACGGCAUAGACUUUGAGAUUUUUUUUGUCUUGCACAGACGCAGCUCUCUUACUCCUAUCAUUCCUUCGUUUGUCUCGUAAGUCUAUGAUUGUCUUUGCAGGCACCUACUAUGUUAAACAGUUGCUUUGCCCACUGCUAUCAUAAACACUUCCCAAGGUGGACAGAACAGAUUCCAUUCUGAGACACCUGUCCAAUGCUCUCAGCUUCAGAAUUCAAACAAUACAAGAUAUAACCAAUUAAUGCGAAAUCAAUCUUGAAUCAAUAAAAUAUGAACAAAAACAGGAUUAUUCCUAGCCUUGGCAUUUAUCUAUUUAUUACAUAAUUAUCAUCAGAGCCCCAUCGAAGAUACCCCCACCACAGUCUCGUUAAACACUUGCGUGCAUUUUACUGUCAUCCAAAACAAGACACUAGCACUUUUAUUUCAGGGAACCCAGAACUUGUUGUAAUACAAUAAAGAAACUAUAGGGCAGAUACCCCCAUUAAAGCCUUGUUGGCAUAAACUCGAUCAUUUCCUGAUAAAAGAAACCCCCUUCUGAAUGCUUGCUGCCAACUCUUUCUUCGCUUUCUCCAAGCCAGCCCUUUCAUACUCGUUGAGGGGGCCAAGUGGACAAAUUUCUUCAAUCCCAGCACGGCCAAGUCGAACUUUGGUUGCAAAGAAAGGAAGUUCGGUUACCUAUAAAGGCUACAUGUCAGUAUAUAUGCUGCCCGAAAAAGCAAAAUAAAUAAAUGUAGAAAAAAGAUUUUGGGCAAACAGAAAUUGAUAACAUACGGCAGAAGCCACGUACGCGCAUUGGACAACACUAGCAUCUCCCCUCAAGCCCCGAAGGCAUGCAUCUGCAAAUUUA